UGACAGGCUUAACACAUGCAAGUCGAGGGGCAGCACAGGUAGCAAUACCGGGUGGCGACCGGCGCACGGGUGAGUAACGCGUAUGCAACUUACCUAUCAGAGGGGGAUAACCCGGCGAAAGUCGGACUAAUACCGCAUGAAGCAGGGGCCCCGCAUGGGGAUAUUUGCUAAAGAUUCGUCGCUGAUAGAUAGGCAUGCGUUCCAUUAGGCAGUUGGCGGGGUAACGGCCCACCAAACCGACGAUGGAUAGGGGUUCUGAGAGGAAGGUCCCCCACAUUGGUACUGAGACACGGACCAAACUCCUACGGGAGGCAGCAGUGAGGAAUAUUGGUCAAUGGCCGAGAGGCUGAACCAGCCAAGUCGCGUGAGGGAUGAAGGUUCUAUGGAUCGUAAACCUCUUUUAUAAGGGAAUAAAGUGCGGGACGUGUCCCGUUUUGUAUGUACCUUAUGAAUAAGGAUCGGCUAACUCCGUGCCAGCAGCCGCGGUAAUACGGAGGAUCCGAGCGUUAUCCGGAUUUAUUGGGUUUAAAGGGUGCGUAGGCGGCCUUUUAAGUCAGCGGUGAAAGUCUGUGGCUCAACCAUAGAAUUGCCGUUGAAACUGGGGGGCUUGAGUAUGUUUGAGGCAGGCGGAAUGCGUGGUGUAGCGGUGAAAUGCAUAGAUAUCACGCAGAACCCCGAUUGCGAAGGCAGCCUGCCAAGCCAUGACUGACGCUGAUGCACGAAAGCGUGGGGAUCAAACAGGAUUAGAUACCCUGGUAGUCCACGCAGUAAACGAUGAUCACUAGCUGUUUGCGAUACACUGUAAGCGGCACAGCGAAAGCGUUAAGUGAUCCACCUGGGGAGUACGCCGGCAACGGUGAAACUCAAAGGAAUUGACGGGGGCCCGCACAAGCGGAGGAACAUGUGGUUUAAUUCGAUGAUACGCGAGGAACCUUACCCGGGUUUGAACGCAUUCGGACCGAGGUGGAAACACCUUUUCUAGCAAUAGCCGUUUGCGAGGUGCUGCAUGGUUGUCGUCAGCUCGUGCCGUGAGGUGUCGGCUUAAGUGCCAUAACGAGCGCAACCCUUGCCACUAGUUACUAACAGGUGAUGCUGAGGACUCUGGUGGGACUGCCAGCGUAAGCUGCGAGGAAGGCGGGGAUGACGUCAAAUCAGCACGGCCCUUACAUCCGGGGCGACACACGUGUUACAAUGGCGUGGACAAAGGGAGGCCACCUGGCGACAGGGAGCGAAUCCCCAAACCACGUCUCAGUUCGGAUCGGAGUCUGCAACCCGACUCCGUGAAGCUGGAUUCGCUAGUAAUCGCGCAUCAGCCAUGGCGCGGUGAAUACGUUCCCGGGCCUUGUACACACCGCCCGUCAAGCCAUGGGAGCCGGGGGUACCUGAAGUCCGUAACCGCGAGGAUCGGCCUAGGGUAAAACUGGUGACUGGGGCUAA
Molecule: ribosomal RNA, 1437 nt
Filed under: uncultured organism
Description: SSU rRNA
Rfam family: Bacterial small subunit ribosomal RNA
Source: RNAcentral